AGUAUAUAAUGUUGUAUAGUGUAUAGUAUAUAAUGUAGUACAGUGUAUAGUGUAGAGUAUAUAAUGUAGUAUAGUGUAUAGUAUAUAAUAGUAUAUAAUGUAGUAUAGUGUAGAGUAUAUAAUGUAGUACAGUGUAUAGUGUAUAGUAUAUAAUGUAGUAUAGUGUAGAGUAUAUAAUGUAGUAUAAUGUAUAGUGUAGAGUAUAGGACAGAUUCUGAUUGCACGCGCACUCCCUUUGUCAGAAAAAAGAAAAACCAAAUCAGCGGCUAGCUGUAGUAAAUCCAGACCAACCUGAUCUCUCUCUGCUGUUCUGGACCCGUCCCUAAGCACCUCGUUCUCCUUGCCCGCCGGAUUCAUGUCUCCUUCCUCGUGCUCGCUUCUCCUCCGGUUCCUGCGCGCGCUUUAAUAAAAAGUCGCGGUGCUCUGAGGAGAUGAUCUUCGAGAAGCCAUAGAUAACUUCUCUCUCUCCGUUUCUAAAUCUUUCUCCCUCCACCCUUACGUUAGAAGCUACAUGCACGAGCGCAUAACCCCACCCGCGCCGCUGCCGCUCGCGCGCGCGCUCACUUUUCCAACGCAAUUCCGUCGCAAAAACUUCCGCCAUUUCCCGGCGGGACAGGUGAGCUCGGCCACGCCCACUACAGAAGAGUCUAGCAAACCGUGCAGAAGUUGCUGGAAAUGUGAUGGAAGUUUACCGGAAUUUCUGUUUCAGACCUAAAGGUUUUAUUCGGCCUUGUCUGAUCUCAGUACAGCGAGUGUGAUCAGACUUCUCACGUUACUGUCACAUCUGCUGUUUUUAUUAUAAUACA
Molecule: long non-coding RNA, 806 nt
Organism: Ictalurus punctatus (channel catfish)
Lineage: Eukaryota; Metazoa; Chordata; Actinopteri; Siluriformes; Ictaluridae
Source: Ensembl